This is a long non-coding RNA of Metopolophium dirhodum (rose-grain aphid), 509 nucleotides long. RefSeq lists it as uncharacterized. The record is from RefSeq and is a predicted model, not a curated record. NCBI's taxonomy places the organism in Eukaryota, Metazoa, Arthropoda, Insecta, Hemiptera, Aphididae. The transcript is spliced from 3 exons.
AAAAAGCCAACAACAAAAAUCGCCGGUUGCAAUUGAAAAAUAUUGUAAUGCACCCACACCAGAUCUUCAUUCUUCAGCAGAUUUUUCCUGUUCAUCUAAUCGUCUUUCUUCAGCAGCUCCGUUUAAUAAGGAAUGCACAAAUCUAAAGGAAAAACAGUGCACAGAAUGGUGGUGUCCAGUGCACUCGGACUUUGGAGUUCUAGUCAAAAAAGUGAAGCCAAUAUCAGCUAAUGAUCAAAUAUUGAUUAAACGAGCCAAGUCGCGUUUUGCUUAUUGGACGAGAGAAAACACGGUUCGAUGUUGCACUCUAGACCGUAAACGCCAUACACAACCAACUACAUAUGAGUUGCCAUCUUGUUGGCCUACAGUAUUGGAAAGUGAUUUAGAUGAAUUAAGCAAUGCAUUUUCAAAAUUCUAAGAUUUUUAAAUUAAAAAUAAAAACAAAAAUAUAGCAGUAAGCACUGAAUAUGACUUUGGACUUAUUAAUCCUACCACCCUACACACUACUA